Molecule: non-coding RNA, 521 nt
Organism: Phascolarctos cinereus (koala)
Lineage: Eukaryota; Metazoa; Chordata; Mammalia; Diprotodontia; Phascolarctidae
Source: RefSeq, a predicted model, not a curated record
UCCCUCCCUCCACCCUAAAAGGUAUUCCUCUUCCCUUCUCUUUCCAUUCUUUCCUUAAGAUCAUCAAGGCAUAACAGAACUACUUCCAAUCUCAUCUAAUUGGAUUGCUUCUAUGAACCCUGAUGAUGUUAGGGAUCAAAAGGGACAUGAAUCAUUUCCUCAUGUUUGAAUAGGUCAUCGUAACAUAAUUGACUCACAUUCAUGCCCUCUAUGUAGACUCCAACUGCUUUAAUAAUGAUACAAUUACUAGGAAUUACAUGUAUUGCCUUCCCAUAUAGAAAUGCACCUCACACGAAGGAAGAGAAAUGAUGGAGAACUUGGGGAAGUUGGGUAUGCUGAAUGGGUGUGCUCUCAUCUUGGCCUUGAGACCAUUAUGUCUGCAGUCUUAGUGACUACCCUGAUUUUAUCCUUCUCUAGUUGUCCCUGAUUCUUCUCCAGAAGUAUUUCAUCUUAAAUCUUGAGCUUCAUCUUGUGUGAGUUAAAACAUACUGUAAAUACUGUAAUAAAGGUCCACCAUUUUA